GGAUUGUGGCUUAGUGGUAGAGCUCUUGCUUAGCACAUGCGAGGCCCUGGGUUUGAUUCUCAGCACCA
RNAcentral lists this transfer RNA (68 nucleotides) under Marmota monax (woodchuck). RNAcentral describes it as "tRNA.Ala". Lineage: Eukaryota; Metazoa; Chordata; Mammalia; Rodentia; Sciuridae. The record is from RNAcentral.